This 101-nucleotide non-coding RNA is filed under the name Paenibacillus selenitireducens. RNAcentral describes it as "TPP sequence". It matches the Rfam family "TPP riboswitch aptamer (THI element)". Rfam says of the family: Vitamin B(1) in its active form thiamin pyrophosphate (TPP) is an essential coenzyme that is synthesised by coupling of pyrimidine and thiazole moieties in bacteria. The record is from Rfam by way of RNAcentral. Lineage: Bacteria; Bacillati; Bacillota; Bacilli; Caryophanales; Paenibacillaceae.
GCAAUGCACUAGGGGAGCCCGUACGGGCUGAGACGGAAGUUUCCGGACCCUUCGAACCUGAUCUGGAUCAUACCAGCGUAGGGAAGUGUUGAGAAUGGCUU